CGGGCCUUCCUGUCCUUAGAAGGGCCAUGUGGCCUGGGGGAAGUGCUCUGGAGCCAGGCAGGCCUGGCUCUGGCGCCUUGACUCCUCCUGACCCCCCAGCUGUAAGACCCUGAAUUAGUCACUUUACCUCUCGGGCCCCACCUGUCAAAUGGGCACAGGGGUCUCUACCUCUCAGAGUCAUUAUGAAGGGUUUCUGAGACCACCGGCCAAGGGGUCAAGGGUCGUCCACAGCGCCUGGCUCCCAGCAGAGACGCCUCCCUGCUCUGCCCGGUGAACGCAGCAAGCCUGCCACCCCAGGAGGAGCCAGAGCCUCGCACGGGCCCCUAGGAACCCAGUGGCCUGAGCGUGCCGUGCCUGCUGGAGGAGUGGGCCCUGACCCCGCCAGGCAGAGCCUCGGGUGCCCACCUCACCCAGCAGCGUGCCCCAAGCCCAGGGCACCACUGUCACCGAGAACACUGCCCUCCUGGCAAAUCACGUUCGUGAAGGGGCACUCGGGGCGCUGGAAACCUCCCCCAACUCCUGCAAAUCACGGAGGACCUGUCACUUAGGCCAUGGACCGCCCAGGAAGGGAAGAACCCCGAGGAUGGAGACCAGAGAUGGAAGGCUCACAGGCCACCUGGUUCAGGUGGCUGGACAGCAUCUGCGGCUCAGCUCGGGCCUGGCUCACGGGUCCAGAGUCCAGGCUCGGCCUCUUCCCCCUCCUUUCUGGAAGGCGCAGCUUCCCUGGCUUGACCCUGCUGAGCUGACAGGACUUUCUGGGCCGUGAUGGUCCCAGAAGGACGGUGAGGAGUGCUGCUGCCCAACAGGGAGGGGCCGGGCGGGGGAGGUGACAAGUCCUAACGAGAAGCAGAGGGAGCUGGCGGCCCGUCCUGGCGCAGUCCCCACGUCCCAGAAUGCUGUGGUUCCCAGGCUGGGGCGGAGGGGGCUGCGUCAGUAUCCGCUUUGCUCCCUGGAGACAAGCCUGGGCCUCCCCAGGUGGAGCCUCAAGAGGGCCCGCGUGCCUCCAGUGCCUGGGCCCAACAAGGGCCCCCGGCUCUGUGGCAGACAGUCUGACAGCAAAUUUGAGGACCUACUAUGUGCUACAAAGUGCUCAUCAAACCACAUCUCGCAUUGCUUUAACAUGCAAAUUAGCUCUCUCCUCCCCAUUUCACAGAUGUGGAAACUGAGGCCCAAACCAAGCCCCUGACCGUGGUUUACACACUGUGAAGGCAGCCCUGUGAUUUUGAUCUUGUAACCCGUGCUCACAGCCAAGGCCCUCCUGUUCCACCCAAGGUAGACAGGACGAGGGGACAGCGUCUGCUUCCCUUGGGGCUCACCCGCAGCCUCUGGGGCCUCUGGGGCCGUGUGUGCCCCCCACUCUACCUCAAGUUGGGAAGAGAUGCACACAGUCAGUGCUCGCUAGCUGAGGGGGCCACGGAAACCUGGGAGGGGCUGACGCAGGGGCGGCCAGGGCCAGGGUGUCUGGGAAGAGCCCCCCGCUCCACUCGUGGAUGGGAGGGCGCAGGGGCCCCAUGCCGGGGACAGUGGUGCUGGAGGCUCGCCCACCACCGGCCCCCUGCCCGCCAGGCCCUCUGCUCUGUGCUCUGCAGCCGGUCCUCACAGCACCCGCGGAACAGCCCUAAGAGCUGUGACGACGAGAUUCACCCCCUGACGGCGUGAUGCCCCAGCGGCGCCCUUCUAGAGGGAUCUGAGGAGAAACAAGGCUGCGACUCGCUCCUGAGGUGACUCUGGGACCUUGUCGUCCAGCUCCGAAGACCAGAGGUGAAACCACGACUCGCUUGUCCCUCUGGGAAGGACACAGGAGUGAGGGCCAAAGGAGGCCGCUCGACAACUGUCUUGAUUUCUGCAUGGGUGACUCAUGGGGGAAAGGUCACGUAGAAGGAAUCAUGGUGGCUUCGGACUCGACGAUGGCUGUGGGAGCCACUGGAAGACGAUGGAACAAUUCCUGCAAAAGUGGCCUCUGCUUAGCUUUUUCUAUAGGAAAAUGAUUUCCAAACUGGAAUUCUAUACUCGGUGUGACAGACUGCAUGUUUGUGCCCCUAAAUUCACGUGUUGAAACCUAACCCCUGAUGUGACAGUGUUAGGAGGUGAGGCCUUCGGGAGGUGAGUAGGUCAUGAGGGGGGAGUCCCCAUGAUGGGAUCAGUGCCCUUAUAAAGAGGCCCCAGGGAGCUCCCUUGUCCGUUCCCUGUGUGAGAUGGUGAGAAGACACCCUCCGUGAACCAGGAAGCCAGUCUCACCACACACGGAAGGUGCCCGCACCUCGGUCCUGGAUUUCAGCCUCCAGGCCCGUGAGAAGGUGGGGGCUGUGGAAAGCGGGUGUGGGUGGGGCAGGCGAUGAGGAAAGCGAACACUGCUCCUCCCUAACGGAAGUCAGGAGAUACUGACUAAGCUGGAAAAGCAAGAAACGACAAUACAACAGAAAUACCAAAAGAAUUAGUUAAAAAACAAAAAAGGAAGCAGUUGCCUCUGGGGAAGAAUAAUUGGAGCCGGUGGGUGGCAGGAGACUGCUGUUUUUAUAAAAAGCCUUGGGACUCGUUUAACUCCUUAGGUGACAUUUGCAUCCAGCUCUGAUUUAGAGAGAAACAGAGCUUUCCUGUGAGCCGUGGAGACGGCAGAGCUCAGACAGCAGCCCCAGGUGGGCGCACAUGGAGACCCUGCUUCCUGAGGAUGAGGAGGAGGGGGGUGGAACGAGGCCCCAGGGCCCUGCGUUCCCUGGUGGAGAGGGGAGAUCUCGGAGGCCGCCAGGUCAGUGUGGGGCUCCCUGCUCUGUGGCCACGUCCACCUGCCCAUCACAGCCGGGAGGAAGACACUCGGCGCCACCGUGCGGGCAGGGCAUCCUCUACGCCCUGGUCUCACCUCCCCUCGGAUCCUAACUGGAGACCCUGGAGGGCAGAGCCGUGGACACAGCCUGGGGACCCGCUGGUGCUCAGCGCUGCGAGCUGGCCCGGCCAGUCCUCACUCUCUGCUGGGAUUCUGUCCUCAGCUUCCGCCACCAGAAGUCAAGCCAACACUGACACCAUUUCCCCAUUUGAAACACACGAGUGAGGCCCGCACGCAUUUGUGCUCUGAGAAAAUGCAACGUUCUGGUCCCUCUGCCCCAAGGGUGGGAACAAACAACCCCUCAAUGGUGGGGGGCGGGAGGGGGGCUUGUGGAGAAUCACGCUCGUGGACCACAUCUGUCCUCUGGCUUUGGGCUAGUUUCCUCCAAAUUACUGGCAAAUUCUGCAAUUCUGACCCCAGCUGUGGACACUGCUUUCUCCUGCGAGUCCCCAGGCCAACACUAAGGGUUGUCGAGUCCCUAAAUUGGCCCCAAGCCCUGCAUGUCCCCGAGCCCUGGGCAGUACUGCAGGUGGAGGGUCUGACUCGGGGGCUCGGCGAGCCCAGUCCCGUUUAUAGCCGGGCCUGGCUGUUCAAUGUGGGCCGCGGCCGGGCAGCCUUUGGCUCACUCGGGAGCUGGUUGGAAACAUCAGUUGCCAGCUGCACCACCAGAUCCACUGUUUCGGGACCUGCGUUCGAGCAGAUACCCAGAGAGGUUAGAGUUCAGGGCACUCUGGCUUGCAGGAGGGAAUUCUCACCCCAGUCACGCAACGUAGGGUGUCACCUUCAGGUGAGGAGGCCCAGGGAAGCUGAUUGGGUGACCCCCUCCCUAGCCGUGGCCAGGCCGGCCGGGGCUCAGGAGGGCCACCAGCUUGUCUGGACGCGGCCUCUACAGACACACAGUGGACUCACCAAACAUCUGGGCCUCAGCUUCCUCUCCUGAAAACUGGGGAGAGUUGUACCUAAGGGACGUCACCCCACAGGAGGGCCUCCCAUGCCUCACACGCUGUGACGAGCCCCGACUCUGCUGUGGGCCUGUGAUGCUCAGACACAGUCUUGCCUGGGGCCGCGGGAAGACAGGGUGGGAUGGCCAGGACAGAAGGCCGUGCAGAUGUGAGAGCCAGGCGUCCGUCUGAAUCCCGACUCCACCCUGAUGGCUGUGUGACCCUGGGCAAGCGACCUGUCCUCUCUGUGCUUUCAGUUUCCACUUCUAAGAAGGGGUGAAUAAGCAGGAUGAAGGAAGUUACUGUCUGCAGGGCGCUCACAACGGAGCCUGGCACCGAGCACGCGCCCUGGGUGUGUUUGUUAAACAGAUGUUAGAGAGAAGGGCCAGCUGAGUUCAGCUCAGAGGGCAGAAGGGGCAAGGUGGUGGGGGAGAGGCCCAGGGAGCAGCCCCCAGGCUGAGACCGCCUCGGAAAGGAGGGGCAGGGGGCGGGCCGGGCAGGGAGAAAGGAGAUGGGGACCCUCGAGGAUGGGGCUGGAGCAGGUGCUGGGGCAGGGGUGCGAUGUGAGGAGGCAGGGCCUGCUGGACCCAGCGCCCGCCCACAGGACCAGACACGAGGUCCUCACAGACCCAAAGGAUGCCCAAACCAAGUGAGAGGUUUCCUUUGUCUCUAGAAGGAGCCAAACGAAGGACAUUGGCGAGAAGUGAAAGGCGGCCUGGGUUCUGACCGCUGAGGGCCGCUCCCAGGCUCAGCUCACGGGGAGGAGCUCAGGCCCUGUGGACACCGAGGUUCCUCCCAGCCUGCCCUCCAUGUAGGGGGCGCCUCUCCUCACGGCACCCCCUGCUCAGGGCACCCCUCACGGCCGUCUCUUCCUUCACAAGCUGGGGCAAGGGGCUGACCCAUCCACGUGGAGGUGUCCCCAGGACGGGGGAUGUGGGGCCACAGGCUGGGGCUGCUAGCCAGUGAAACCACAGGCACGGGGGGCAUGCAGGAGCAAGUGUGGCCAAUGGUGCCAGAGCUGGGUGACCCUAAAUGACCCCUGGGAGCAAGAGGACGCGGGUGCCCGGGACAGGACCAGGUAGCAGCCUUCAUGGGAAUAGCAGCGGGAUCCUUGGGUGGCAGCCUCCACGUGCAGGGUCUCCUCUCCCAGGCCCCCAGCGGGGCUGUGUUUCCACUGCUCAGUUGGGAGGCCGGGAGGCAGGGACCCGUCACUUGUCCCAGGUCACCAGGCUUACAGACGGCAGAGUGUGCUCCCUCUGAAGCCAGCCCUGCCUAUCGGCUCCCCCUGCUCCAAAGUCCUGUGUCCCCCGCAGGGUCUCCACCCUGGAGACCGUCCCCCGGCCUCCUACCUGCUCAGGGGGAACAGCCUGCACCAGCUGUCACUCGGUCCCCUGAGCGCCACAUGCAAUCACCAGCACGUCCUGAAGGUGCCACCCCCAGCAGCUCCAGAACCUUCUCACCACCUCUGCUGCUCCGAGCCACAUCCACCGGCAGGUCCCCGUGGGAGCCUCCAAUCAUUUCUUUGCUUCUGCCGUUGCUCCCCUCAGCCUGGCCCCCGUCUUCAUCUCCCCACAGCACUUACCACUGUCUGGCGUCCUGUGUAUUUACUCAUUUACUGUUUCUUAGGUGUUAUAUGGAGAAUGAUCAGAGAACGGGGUGCACCAAUGGAGGGGAUGCCACCCAGGGGCUGGGGAGAGCUCCCUGGAGGAGGUGCGGCUUGGCUGAGUUGGCCUGGUGGUACACACUCAGAGACAGUGCAGUGCAGCGACUCUCACCCGCAGGCGCUCAGGAAGGACGCCACAUCUCCCCGCUGAUCAGACGCAGCGUCAGAGGAGCUUCUGCAGAGGGCCGGGCCCGGUGACGGCAGCGGUGCUCAGGAGCCAGCAGGCACCCGGUCCACUGGGGCCUUCCUCCAACGAGGAUUAACCGACACUGGUCAUAUGUGCCAGCUCUAGAGACCCACAGAGCUGUGGCCCAGCCCACACCUUUAAGAGAGGACGUGCACGAACAGAAGAAGGCCACUGGGUUGCAGAGGCGGGUGGGAGGCAGAGAGGGGGGCCUGGUCUGGGAACGGCCCCCAGAAGAGAAGCUGCUAGGCAGACAAUGACAGGAACGGUGUUGGAGGCAGAGGGAACAGCCUGUGCAAAGGCUCUGAGCAGAAGGCCCAGCUGCCCCUCUGUCCUCGGAGGGCCUGACGGGAUUGUGGGAGGACGGUGCUUGGCCCUUUACACAGCAAAUUCAAGCCAGGGGGGCCAGGGCUCUUUUAAGCUGACAUUUUCCGGCACAGCUGUUCGUGUUGUUCACAUAUCUGACAGCGGCCUGGCAAGCGUGCCCGCGAAACCCCGCUUCAUUGUUUUGGUUUUACUUUGUUUUUCUUUUUAAGGAAAAACAGCUGUAAGGCCAAGAGAGAAUGGAUGCUUUGGAGAAACUUCUGAUGCUACUUGCCCGGCUUAUACACUCAGGGCCAGGCCCCCAAACAGUCCACUGGGGCAGGGCAGGCCACAGCCAUCCCACGCACGGGCUGGGCUGAGCUGCCCGCCCAUCCAGGGUCAGCAGUGGGACCGAGGACGGCCCCGCCCCUUCAGGCUGCAGCCUCCGGCCAGCAGGAGCUUCCCCCUCCUCCGCUGUGACCAGACCAGACCCUGCAACGAGCCCUCGGGCCAGCUCUCUCUGCAGCUCCCAUGAGCCCUGUGGCCGGGCCAGGCUGGGCGCCUGCAGGACAUGGGGCCCGUCCUCUGUGCACCCCAAUCCCCAGAUGGUCUGUCCUCCUCGCUGUGACGCUGUAUGAUGGUGACAGCAGCAGCAGCGUGACAGUUCCCACUCACUGCACAUCGGACAGGAGCUGGCCCGUAUCCUCUCCAGUCCUCCCAGGCGCCCGCUGUGUAGACGACGUGGCCCCACUUUACAGACGAGGAGAAUGAGGUGCCACAGUUUGUGUCAGUUGCCGGAACCCAGAAGAGGCAGCCCGGGGAGGGCUCGGCAUGAAGAUGCCGCCCCCGCCUCCCUCACCGCCACCCCGCCCCCACCCCCCUCCCAGCGAGGACUUGAGGACGCGAGAAGGGGCUGCAGUGAGAGCCUCGGGGGUCCGACCUCAGGUGGGCGAGGGCGAGGUGAGUGGCCUGAGGCAGUGAGGUGUCUGGUGCCAGGCAGGCGAGGGGAGGGGGACCAGGGGGAGGUCCAUGGAGACCAACGUGAGUUGGGCCCUGAAUGCCAGUCUGAGGAGCUUCCACUUGGCCCCCAGAGCGACAAGGAGCACAGAGAGGCGGCGCCCUCUCACCCAGGGUUGAGGGAUGCUGGCUCAGAGAGGUGUGUCAGUGGGCGUGGAGAGGAGGGACUCCAGAGGGAGGGAGCACCCCAGGACCUUGACAUGGCCAGGUUCCAGGGGGCCGAGGGUGACCCCUGGGUGUCUGUUGGGGGAUCCCAAGGAUGCACCCUUCCCUGUAAAGGAUGAGGAGGGAUAAGCUACAGUUCUUUGGGUCUGACUACAGCCCCUGGGCGGGUGGGACAGGAACCAGGGCUCCUGGUGCCUGCCCAGCAUCCUCCGAGUCCAUGUGGCCCUUGCCUCUCAUCCUGGCCUUGGCGCCACAGGGAGGAGCAGGGAAUAAAACCUCCUUUCAGCCCGCCUCCCCUGAGCUGUCGCAGGCAGCCUGCCAGGAAACACGAGGCAAGUUAAAACCACAGGGGGUCUCUUUCCACCUAUUGAAUUAAAAUGUCCUGGAAGAGCGGUAAGCUGGCAGCAGCCGUGCCCACUGUUGGCUUUGUAACUGGGAUAUCGAGUUUGAAAAACAAACAAAUCAGCCAUUAAACAACAAAAAUGCACGCGGACCUCGACCCAGAAAUUCCUGUUCUGGGAGCAUCUCCUAAAGAAAUAAUCUCCAAUACAGGGGCCGGGCCACGCACGCUGUGCCGUUUGUCAUAGAAUGCAGACUUCAUGUCCAACUGAUGAGGAUUAUUUUGGGCUGGUUACUUUUAAAAACUGCAGACAGGAAGGAGGCUCUGAAAACUGGAAUUUACUUGCCCUUUGAUGAGAGACGUGUGCAUUUGUGAAGGAAGUCUCCAUCUGUGGGGGUGUCUCCCUCUGUGUACCAGCAGGAAGGCGGAAUGACCUUAUCUCUAGAAACUCUUAAUGGGGACGGCAAGGAUUAAGUCUGCAUAGUGAUCUUGCCCUUGUUUAUUGUGCUUGUCUGGUAACCUCAUGUAGCUGACUCCCCCCACCACCAACAUCCUCCGGGAGGCAUAAGACAUCCCGACUUAAUCCGGUCUGAUUCUUAUCUAGAGUUGUAGGACCACCCAAUAGCCAGACCCCACCUGUGCUGAGACCAUUUUAACAACUUUUUUUUUUACAUAUUCUUUCCUUUGUCUUGUAAACAGAUAACUCACAUACCUAUGCCUUAAAUUUAGCCCUACCCUCAACCCAUGUCUGCAGCUCUUCCUGCCCAUGGGUCCUGUCCCC
Long non-coding RNA from Equus caballus (horse), 8215 nucleotides. Lineage: Eukaryota; Metazoa; Chordata; Mammalia; Perissodactyla; Equidae. The record is from Ensembl.